GAUGAACGCUGGCGGCGUGCCUAAUACAUGCAAGUCGAGCGAACGGACGAGAAGCUUGCUUCUCUGAUGUUAGCGGCGGACGGGUGAGUAACACGUGGAUAACCUACCUAUAAGACUGGGAUAACUUCGGGAAACCGGAGCUAAUACCGGAUAAUCUUUUGAACCGCAUGGUUCAAAAGUGAAAGACGGUCUUGCUGUCACUUAUAGAUGGAUCCGCGCUGCAUUAGCUAGUUGGUAAGGUAACGGCUUACCAAGGCAACGAUGCAUAGCCGAACUGAGAGGGUGAUCGGCCACACUGGAACUGAGACACGGUCCAGACUCCUACGGGAGGCAGCAGUAGGGAAUCUUCCGCAAUGGGCGAAAGCCUGACGGAGCAACGCCGCGUGAGUGAUGAAGGUCUUCGGAUCGUAAAACUCUGUUAUUAGGGAAGAACAUAUGUGUAAGUAACUGUGCACAUCUUGACGGUACCUAAUCAGAAAGCCACGGCUAACUACGUG
Molecule: ribosomal RNA, 497 nt
Filed under: uncultured bacterium
Lineage: Bacteria
Description: partial 16S ribosomal RNA
Rfam family: Bacterial small subunit ribosomal RNA
Source: RNAcentral